RNAcentral lists this ribosomal RNA (108 nucleotides) under Ochotona princeps (American pika). Lineage: Eukaryota; Metazoa; Chordata; Mammalia; Lagomorpha; Ochotonidae. The record is from RNAcentral.
GUCUGUGGCCAUACCACCAUGAACUUACUUGAUCUUGUCUGAGCUCUGAAGCCAAACAGGGUUGGGCCUGCUUAGUAUUUGGAUGGGAGAAGGUGGCUGGAUCAGAAU